AGAGGGAUAGCUGGGUCAAAUGGUGGUUCCAUUCCCAAAUUUCCAAGGAAUCUCCAUAUUGCUUUCCAUAUUGGCUGUACCAAUUUGCAGUCCCACCAGCAAU
Molecule: microRNA precursor, 103 nt
Filed under: Marmota monax (woodchuck)
Lineage: Eukaryota; Metazoa; Chordata; Mammalia; Rodentia; Sciuridae
Source: RNAcentral